This is a long non-coding RNA of Bubalus bubalis (water buffalo), 405 nucleotides long. RefSeq lists it as uncharacterized. The record is from RefSeq and is a predicted model, not a curated record. The transcript is spliced from 2 exons. Lineage: Eukaryota; Metazoa; Chordata; Mammalia; Artiodactyla; Bovidae.
AUGAUUGGACACAUUAUGCUUUUGGAAAUACCCAGUGUAAGCUCCCUGAAGUGAUAACUCUACCUUCGAUAGAAGAGGGAAGAAAAGCAGCAGGAAAAGUGAAACUGCAUGAGUUCUACAAAAGCAUGUUGGAGUCAUAUAAUGAAAAAGCAGAUUUUUUUUUAUUAUGUUUCUCCAUAUUUGGCAUUGCUGUAAAAUGGCUAACUAACAUUUACUGCCAAUUCAGUACAAAUGUGUGGUUUGGUAAUACCAGAACAGCAAAUUUAAAUGAAAAAUAAAAGUUAAACAUUUCCACACAAGAUUUUACAGUCUGACAUUUCACUGCGUAGAUAAAAAGACACUUUUUUUUUAAACUACAUAUUAUUAUUCAGCAUGAAUAAAAAACUACAACUUUUAUUUUUUAAA